This 294-nucleotide long non-coding RNA is filed under the name Cyanistes caeruleus (blue tit). RNAcentral describes it as "lncRNA (ENSCCEG00000013522.1)". Lineage: Eukaryota; Metazoa; Chordata; Aves; Passeriformes; Paridae. The record is from RNAcentral.
AUGAAACAAGGCUGUCAUUCAGAAGCUCAUCACAGAGCAGUGAAUACAUUCCUUGUGGGAGCUCAGCAUCAGAAGAAGUUGCAAGCCCCUUCUCAGGAGGAAAGACGAGCACAAGCUGAAACACCCAAGCUGCAAUCAGUGGCAGAACACAACUCCAGGAAGGAUCAUGCCUCAUCAGCGGGUGUUGGCUUUCUAAGGCACCUCAAGUACCCUGCCAGGGAAGGGGCCACAAGGGGUGUGGGUGCCCCUUGCACCUUUGCAGUGCCAGCCAAGAACAGUCCACAGGACUCCUGA